GACACAUGUCAGUCGAGCGCCCCGCAAGGGGAGCGGCAGACGGGUGAGUAACGCGUGGGAACGUACCUUUUGCUACGGAAUAACUCAGGGAAACUUGUGCUAAUACCGUAUGUGCCCUUCGGGGGAAAGAUUUAUCGGCAAAGGAUCGGCCCGCGUUGGAUUAGCUAGUUGGUGAGGUAAAGGCUCACCAAGGCGACGAUCCAUAGCUGGUCUGAGAGGAUGAUCAGCCACACUGGGACUGAGACACGGCCCAGACUCCUACGGGAGGCAGCAGUGGGGAAUAUUGGACAAUGGGCGCAAGCCUGAUCCAGCCAUGCCGCGUGAGUGAUGAAGGCCCUAGGGUUGUAAAGCUCUUUCACCGGUGAAGAUAAUGACGGUAACCGGAGAAGAAGCCCCGGCUAACUUCGUGCCAGCAGCGGGCGGGUAAUA
RNAcentral lists this ribosomal RNA (429 nucleotides) under Ochrobactrum sp. TW39E. RNAcentral's name for it is "bacterial SSU rRNA". It matches the Rfam family "Bacterial small subunit ribosomal RNA", at positions 50 to 525 of the family's 1533-position model. Lineage: Bacteria; Pseudomonadati; Pseudomonadota; Alphaproteobacteria; Hyphomicrobiales; Brucellaceae. The record is from RNAcentral.